GCAAAACUGAGGGCUAACAACCACCUGCUGCUCUCCUGCCAUCAUCACUAGGAUGACAGGUGACACAGCCUCGACACCUGCUGCAUAAGCUCGAGGACCCACACCUUGCUACAGCCUACAUCACCACAUCGCACCACUUGACAGCAUCCACCAUGGCACCACAAGC
Molecule: long non-coding RNA, 166 nt
Organism: Sinocyclocheilus anshuiensis
Lineage: Eukaryota; Metazoa; Chordata; Actinopteri; Cypriniformes; Cyprinidae
Exons: 2
Source: RefSeq, a predicted model, not a curated record